Camellia sinensis is the source of this 1893-nucleotide non-coding RNA. The record is from RefSeq and is a predicted model, not a curated record. Lineage: Eukaryota; Viridiplantae; Streptophyta; Magnoliopsida; Ericales; Theaceae.
GUUCAAUGUUUUUGAUGAGUGAUAAGCUCUGUUGUGGAGAUUCCCACCGCAGUUUUACAAGCACUCAAAUUGCCAGAAAUGUGCUUUCAAGGAUUUGAAUACAAAGAAAGGCUUCUUCUGAUAGAUUUCCUCGUCUGCUUGUAUUUCCGAGGCAACCACAACAAAUGGAAGAAUUCUCAUUUCUUUCCAACUUGGUGCAUUUGUCCCUGGAUAUCCUGUCCAUCCAGUGAUUGUUCGCUAUCCCCAUGUGCACUUUGACCAAUCCUGGGGCAAUAUAGCUUUGGGAAAGCUCAUGUUUAGAAUGUUCAUAGUUUCACAAUUUCGUGGAGGACAACAUAUCUCUAGUCUGGUCUUGGAUUGUUGCUGAGUCUUGAUUGGUUACUAUAACUGUACAAACAUCUCAUUCCUAUGGGGACAUCAUGCAGCUUGCAAAAGCUUCCGAGUCCAAACAAGUCACUUUUCGUGCUCCAUGUGUUUUGGCUUUAUAGUUUAUCUUGCUUUUAGGUCGGCAAAAAUGAUCUUGUACUUCAUUCAAACAUUCUAUGAAGUGCUAGAUUUUAGCUCUUAAACUUAAUUUGAUGGCCUUUUUUUGCGAUGGACCAAGAAUAUUUGAUGCAGCUGCAACGAUGGAAUUUACAUUGUCUCCAUGGGAUCUCAUAAUGUAUUAGGUGUAGGCCUUGAAACACACCAUUUAACGCUUAUAAUUCCUCUCUUCCAAAAUAAAUGAGUUGAAUUAACAUUUUUAUUAAUGACUAUUGAUUAAUCUAUGUCUUACUAAAUGGAGGAAGGAUCAUAGAUUAAUUUGAAAAAAUAGAGGUGAAAAAUGCAGCAGAGAAGUCUUGAAAAAACUAAUGUGCCAGUCUUGUAUUCCUUUAGUUCUAGCAAAGAGAUUUUUUCAUCUCAACUGGAGUCUUGAAAUAGAUCUUUAAAAUGUAAAUGCAGUAUUAUUUCUAUCUAUAUUAAUUGGUUUCUUUUCUAUGGUUUUAGUAAACAAUGAAUUGUUAACUAAUGGAACACGCAAAAAUAAAAUACCUUGGAAAUGAAAUUUAAGGUCGUAAUUUUGUGGGAAGAAGAGUAUACAUUAUGUUGAUGUUUGGUGCAUUAUGUCUGAGUCAUAGCACUUGACAUGUACACCUUGAAUCUAUAGUGAAGGUGUAGAUAAGCCAAAUCAAGUAAUAUAUCUGACUGUCCAAAUUCUUAAGCAUAGUUCUAGCUGCUUAAUCUUGGCUGGUGAGGAGUAGAUUGUUUUCAAACUUGGCAUGCUGUAUGGUUUCAGACUUUUCUCAGGUGUGCUCUUUCUAAUUUAUAUCAGGUAGUCGCUCUUACAAUUGAAUCCAAGCGUGCCGAGAACACACCAUGGUUAGAUUGAUUACUGAAGUAAAGAAGAAUACACAGAUGAAAAUAAAGUUGUCUGUGACCAUGCAACUUGUGUUUGUAGUUUAAGUUUAUUAUUAGAGUUAGGACACCUCGUAGGUAGAGCUCUCAUAAAAAUUAAUAAAUAAAAUUUCAAACUUUUCUUAGGUGUGCUCUUUCUAAUUUAUAUCAGGUAGUCGCUCUUACAAUUGAAUCCAAGCGUGCCGAGAACACACCAUGGUUAGAUUGAUUACUGAAGUAAAGAAAAAUACACAGAUUAAAAUAAAGUUGUCUGUGACCAUGCAACUUGUGUUUGUAGUUUAAGUUUAUUAUUAGAGUUAGGACACCUCUUAGGUAGAGCUCUCAUAAAAAUUAAUAAAUAAAAUUUGAGAUAGUGGAAUUUUUUUUUAAUACUAUUUGUAUACCCCAACCCCUAGUAACCUUUGAUGAGAUCUCUCCAUAUCCCACAGACCCCCCACCCCUACCCCUACCCCCCUUCUUCUUCUACUUGAAAAAAAUACUCAAGGCCAAGAUGAUAGC